UGCAAGUGUUAGAGGGUCAAGGUUUUUAAUAAAUAUAAAAGAAAAGUAGAUAGAAUAGAAAUAGAAUAGAGAGAGCAAAUGUUAGAGGGUCAAGGUUUUUAAUAAAUAAAAAUAAAAGUAGAAUAGAAAUAGAAUAGAGUGCGCAAGUGUUAGAGGGUCAAGGUUUUUUAAUAAAUACAAAAGAAAAGUAGAUAGAAUAGAGAGAGCUAGUGUUAGAGGGUCAAGUUAUUAUUUUUAAUAAAUAAAAAGAAGAAAAGGAUAUAGAAUAAAAAAGAAUAGAAAACACUAGUGUUAGAGGGGUGACUUUUUGUAAUAAAACCAGUAGAUAGAAUAGAAAUAGAAUAAACACUAGUGUUAGAGGGUCAUGUUUUUU
This is a long non-coding RNA of Onychostoma macrolepis, 373 nucleotides long. RefSeq lists it as uncharacterized. The record is from RefSeq and is a predicted model, not a curated record. NCBI's taxonomy places the organism in Eukaryota, Metazoa, Chordata, Actinopteri, Cypriniformes, Cyprinidae. The transcript is spliced from 2 exons.